Molecule: long non-coding RNA, 1256 nt
Organism: Homo sapiens (human)
Lineage: Eukaryota; Metazoa; Chordata; Mammalia; Primates; Hominidae
Gene: ZNF503-AS1
Product: ZNF503 antisense RNA 1
Source: Ensembl
GCGGUCACACACGAGGGUGGGUUUCAGCUCCCACUUGUUUUUUUGGUCAGGUUCCCCAAGAAACAGACUCGGGAUUUGCAUGCAGGAGUCUUAUUGGGGAACGCUUUCAGGAACUACCACCCCGUAUGGGAGCGAGAGAAGCAGGACUGUGCAGAAGGAGAAGUUGAACAACUCCUGGAAAGCUCUGAAGCUGGGAUCAUCCUUCCAGAAUGUCUUGGAUUGAGACAAGGGCCUUAUCUUGUACAAGAUUCAUGUGUUGGUGAGCUCAUUUCCACCAGAACUCAGCCCAGGCUGCUGUGGGAUGGAAUCACCUGCACCCGGAUGUUCUUUCUGGGCUGUACUUUAAUCAGCAUUUAAUGACCCAGUCGAAAAUUCAUUGUUUGGACCCAAGCACUGGUGGGAAAGGCAGGAGGGGAGGCCUGCCUUCCUUCCUCCCUCCCGAGCCCUACAGCAGGCCAUGGAGUGGUGAGCGAGUUCGUACAGUGCCAACCACAUUCCCAGAAACUUCCAGCAGAGGUUAAUCCUGCUCCUCUCAGGAAAAAGUGAUUCAGCUCCGGUCCACCCUGGGUGCAGCGGUCCUUCUGCCAAGAUGCCUUCAUAUCAUACAGCUAUUAUUUUCGGGAGGAUUCCAAGUGAGGGCAGUCAGGGUGGGCUUGGCCCAUUCUCUAGACUUUGGAAGGUAAUGUUCUAUAGAGGCCUGUUCUGAAGCUUUACCAGGUCAAACCGGAGAAGAACCCAACAAGUAACUCAUCCCAGCCUAACUAUUCUUCAAGGGCAAUCAACCUACAGCAUCCAAGCACAGAGAAAUCAAAUCCAUGGAGAAUCUUCAAAUUAGGCUCAGAAUCCAUUUGGGUCAAUGAAUUUACUGUUAUUAAGAUCUUAGUUGUGUUCAACCAUGAUUUGACAUACCUUAGAGUGAGAAGAUAUUCUUCCUGGCCUCAGACUAGUUGAAGGUAGAGAGAGAGACAGGCCCUUGGGUGUGGGGAGACCUCUCCUGGGAUAAUACACACAAAAAACCAAGAGCUGCUCACUGUGGUGCAGGAGACAGCAGGGCCUGAAGCCAGAGGCUCUGUGUCCUUGAAUACAAUGUUUUACUCCUCUGACCCCUGUUACUGUGAUUUGGAGAGGCAGACAAUAUAGGAUGGGCUUUGCAGGCAGGGAGGUCCAGUUAUAAUCCCAGCUCUUACUAAGUUGGGUAAGACUCACUCUGAGACUUAGUUUCUUCUGUCAUCUCUCAAUAGAAUCAUAAAGGUACU